AAGAAAAAUAUUCCUGAAGAUGCUUAACUGAAAAGAAAAUCACACUUUCAUUUUUUAUCUGGGAUUUUUCAACAGUUGUCUGUUUUUUGGAUUGACGUCCCUUUGAAAGGCUGUUUUUUUUUUCGGUGGUACAAGUCUGUCCAAUUUACAAUAUAAAGGUGUCAUACUUUUUGCCAGGGAGAGCUUUAUAAAACAGUGAUGGCCUAAUAUUGCGCCUAUUGUGAUGUUGGUUUUUAUGCAGGUUAUACUGACCUUUCUUGAUAAAAGAAACAUCUUGUUAAACAAAACAAAGAAAUAGUAAACACAUCAGGAAUGUUACAUAACUGUGCAGACAGAGGUCAAGCUGUUCGAAUACGCAGCGAGAAUCUUCUACUUGUAUCAUGCUGUAAAUACGAGAACCACAUAACCUUGGCUUUUGGUGCUAUUUAUUAUUAAAACAUACUUUAGCUAGAAAAGAAAUAACACUUGAAAAAGCCAAUAUUCUUCGCAUUUUUGACAUCUAGUGCUAAAAGCUUUACCACUAUUAUUAAAAGAACAUUUUAUGAACAAAUCAUUUAAAUCGUCAGAAAGCAUUAGUGGUUCAUGCACCUUACAACCCUAUACCAUAGUUAUUGCUAUGAUUAUGUUAUUCAGGUAGCACAUUAAAGUAAAUGAGGCUGUAAACUAUAUAUAGUCACAUCAGGAGUAGAAGUAUAAAAUACUGUAAGAACAAUAUGAAAUGCUGGUUUUGCCAGACAUCUAUAUAAAUUUUUUUAAAUUCUCUUUGUUAAAAGAUUUUUCAGUACUUUUCAAGUGGGUGUAUUACAAAAAAAAUCACACACAUGCGUCCUUUUGUAACAGAGAAGGAUUAUAAUGAACAAGAAAAAAUAUGUUAGCUCUACAUGGCAGCAAUCUUUGAAACUAAGUUUGUUUAAACUACUUAAUAGUUGUGAUGGAUUAUUAAAAGUAACACUCUGCUUGUGCAUAGCAGUUAAUGCUGUUUUUAACUACGAAGCACACUAGAUGAAAACGCCACAUCUGCCAGUUUUCUUUUUUUCCUCAACAUCAGGCUGACAGCAGAAAAAUAUAAUGGCUCUCAAGGGAAACACCAAAUUAAAAGCAGUUCUAAACUAAUGAAUUCAAAGGUGCUCUGUAGAAAAUUCAGUUUGGUAACAUAAAAAUGAACGCAGCUUUUUAAUCACAUCCCUCCAUUUUACUGAACUUCAGGAGUUACCAACAAGCCUACUUAAUUCCAAGUCCUUUUACCUUCUGCUGCUACUUAAGAUGCACUUCCUGCAUAAUACGUGCCUGUUUGUUUUUAAAGUUGCAAACCGUUUUCUGCAUGACUGUCUGGCAUGCCGGUAACCACGAUCACUGGGAGAAGUUCUGGGACAAGGCCAGAACCAUCAGCUCCUGCUAGGAUUACUCAAGUCAACUUCUCUUUCGGUGCAGUCUCAUUACUAAAAUUAUAGAUUAUAUACAGAAUACAUGUAUUCGCUUUGCAAAACAUUCUGUUUCUGCCGUCUCCACCACAGCCUUCCUGCGUGGGUUUCGGCAAGGUUAUCCUAGGUCCACUCAGACUCUCAUUCCUCUUCUGUGAAAAGGACACAAAACUUAGUUGCCUUUCGUAGUGGUUGACUAGUUUCACGCUGAAAAAGACUAACCUCACUGACCAAAGGCCCAGGUAUUUUUUCCUUCAUAUCUGCAUAGCAGAUGAUGGCAGUUUAGCUGGACAAGGAAUGCAGUUCAGGCUGCAAAAGGUACCGAGUAAGGACUGUGGGUAAACGCUGCUGUUACACCGUAUGGUUAUACCAACGGGAACGAGGCCUGCCACAGCACCGUUUGAGCACAAACAUGAAAACCGCCCCGCCGACUUCAAGCCUGGAGGGGGAUGAGACAGCAGCUCAAUGGUUGGACGGUUUGGGCGCAGCAACUUCAUCCUUGAGACUGAGCUCAAGCCCUUGCUGGGGAGGGUGCUGGGUGCAGGUGGUGCCACCUUUCCCAGCCACGUCCCCUCUGCAGGGGGUGGUGUGGGUGGGUGGUGUGGGUGUGAAAGUGGGAGUCCAUUACACUUACAAUUGCGAUUUACAUGUUGCAGAGCAGUGAAACAACUUGGGAUUGUCACGCAGCCUCGCAAAGGGUGGAGAGAUUCACUGCGCCGGCGUCCACUCUGUGUGGGUUUCCACACUGUUCUCAAGUAAGAGACCCCCCCUCCCACAGAAACUGCUUCAGAUCUGGAAGCUACUUUGUGUCGUACCGUAUGGAGGUCCCUGAAGGCUGUGCCUGCAACUGUUCUGCCAAAGCAUCGCUGAGCUUCGCCAGCCUCCUGCUCUCGCCGCUUCUUACCUGAAGGCUUGAUCUCGACAAGACUCCCAGGGACAGGCUGGAUGGCAGCAGGUCGGGGACCGCAGCUAUAGUGGCCCCAGGAGUGUUGUGCGUACCUGCCGCAUGGAUACCAUGCCAUGCAACAGCCAGCUAUCCUUGUGGUAAUGCCAUACAGCUGAAGUCAGCAGAGCAGAUGACCUGCAUCCCCUCCUAGAAGGGAACCAGAGCCACAAGCAAUGUGGAUGUGUGAAGCCUGUGACUUACCCUCAAACUGCAUAUAGCCCUAUGUUGCUGCAGAAGAAGCGGCAACCCGAAAAAGAAGCUUAUGAUGUGCAUUUCAGAUUCAUCCCUAUCCCCAUCCCACCUUCGUGCAAAGAGCUAAACAGAAAAAAAAAAAAAAGACACUUUUUAGAGCAAAUGCAGAGGCAUCUAAGAAGAAAAGGAACUGAAUGAACAGAAAGCCCCCUGAUGAGCAGUGGCCAAGCUCCUAUCGUUUUCCAGCAAUUCUAUUAUUUCCCCAAUGACUAAGGAGAACAGGUCUAAAUGGUGCAUAUGGAGUUUGCCCCUGGAGAUGGGGGAAGGGAAGGAAAUUAAGGUACAAAUAUAUAAUUAGCUGCCUAAUGUGAGGGACAUAAAACACAGACAUUUUUCAUUUUGCCCCAGAGGUGACUGAGAAUGUAGAACCUCUGGGUAAGAAAUCAAUGCACAAACUGUCAGGUAAAUACAUACUGAAAUAGAAGUGGGGGGUAAGUUAAUAGUUCUAUGAGGUCAUAUAAUAAAGUCCAUAGUUCUUUCAUCAGUGCUGUGAACAAUGCAGUUACUGUGUUUCUCCCCUGGUGUAACAGCAAAGACGGUUGCUAGACUCAGAAAAUAAAUUAUGCCAUGCUUUAUUAAAAAGUAAACAGCUGUUCCAGCCACAAUACAGCACAUGCUAAUUGAAGAAUGCCUUAAGCAGUCCUAUAAUAAAAGGCUUUUAAGAGCUGGAGAGCAAAAAAAAAAAAAAAAAAA
Molecule: long non-coding RNA, 3312 nt
Organism: Struthio camelus australis
Lineage: Eukaryota; Metazoa; Chordata; Aves; Struthioniformes; Struthionidae
Source: RefSeq, a predicted model, not a curated record